RNAcentral lists this ribosomal RNA (407 nucleotides) under uncultured bacterium. Its description in RNAcentral is "partial 16S ribosomal RNA". It matches the Rfam family "Bacterial small subunit ribosomal RNA", at positions 30 to 526 of the family's 1533-position model. The record is from RNAcentral.
AUUGAACGCUGGCGGCAGGCCUAACACAUGCAAGUCGAGCGGAGCGGCGGCCGUGUGAGUAAUGCCUAGGAAUCUGCCCGGUAGUGGGGGAUAACGUCCGGAAACGGGCGCUAAUACCGCAUCCUCUCACAUGCGCCUAGGUCGGAUUAGCUAGUUGGUGGGGUAAAGGCCUACCAAGGCGACGAUCCGUAUCUGGGCUGAGAGGAUGAUCAGUCACACUGGAACUGAGACACGGUCCAGACUCCUACGGGAGGCAGCAGUGGGGAAUAUUGGACAAUGGGCGAAAGCCUGAUCCAGCCAUGCAGCGUGUGUGAAGAAGGUCUUCGGGUUGUAAAGCACUUUAAGUGGGGAGGCGGUACCAACAGAAGAAGCACCGGCUAACUCCGUGCCAGCAGCCGCGGUAAUAC